GGUCUGUGUGGGGUUCUCCUCCAUGGUGGCUGAGGUCUGUGUGGGGUUCUCCUCCAUGGUGGCUGAGGUCUACGUGUGGGGCUCACCUCCAUGGUGGCUGAGGUCUGUGUGUGGGGCUCACCUCCAUGGUGGCUAAGGUCUGUGUGUGGGGCUCACCUCCGUGGUGGCUGAGGUCUGUGUGGGGGGCUCACCUCCAUGGUGGCUAUGUCCACCCAAUGCACCUCCAUACAUGUACAUGGAGAAGAUUCCCUGAAGUUCCCCUGAGCCUCCCUUUCUGAGGGGAGAUUGAGAAACGGGGGUCAAUGGCACAAGCUGUGGCCUGUCAUGCAAUUGCAACUCACCCUCAUCACCUUCCUCCCCCACUGUACUUUAUAAUUUCCCCUCUCCUUGGUCAGCGUCCCCUCUGCUGCUCUCAAUGGCUUACCUGGUGUUUUGUUUUGCACUGUAUCCUCCAGAAAGGUAUGCUGAGGUUCUAACCCAGGCAUCUGUGAACAUGACUUUAUUUAGAAACAGGGUCUUUGCAGAUGUGAUUAGUCAUGAUGAUGCCAAACUGGAGGAGAGGAGGCUCCGAUUCCAAAUGACUGGUGUCCACAUAAGAACAGAAGAAGACACAGAAACACAGAGGGAAGACGGCAGGUGUGAAGGCAGACAGCGACUGGAGUGAUGCAUCUAGCCCAGUAGCACAUAAGAAGCUGUUUGCGAAGAUCUGUAAUUCCGUACUGCAGGUGGCAUGGCGUGCUCCAGAGCCCCAGUGGAUGUCUGACCUCGUGGAAGAGGAAACCAGUGUAAAUGCCAGGUCAGUAAACUGGACAUGUGUGUGCACGGAGACGGGGAAGAGGUCUGACAGACCCCAUGCUGUGAGCUCAGGCUUUUUCCCCCUGAUGCGUGCCACCUGCUGA
This is a long non-coding RNA of Cebus imitator (Panamanian white-faced capuchin), 899 nucleotides long. RefSeq lists it as uncharacterized. Lineage: Eukaryota; Metazoa; Chordata; Mammalia; Primates; Cebidae. The transcript is spliced from 3 exons. The record is from RefSeq and is a predicted model, not a curated record.